This is a long non-coding RNA of Oncorhynchus tshawytscha (Chinook salmon), 3006 nucleotides long. The record is from Ensembl. Lineage: Eukaryota; Metazoa; Chordata; Actinopteri; Salmoniformes; Salmonidae.
UAACUUUACCGUUUUGUCUGCGCUGCGAUCCGCUGCCGUCACACUCUCGGGGUGGGGUUUCUAGUUUAGCUGCGCGGAGAAAAGCGACUGUCUGGUAGAGUGAUGUCACAUAACGAAUAGACGAGAGACCGAACCAGUGACUGAUUGUAAUAGCUGGGGAAAGCGCACCUGUUGAAUAACAGGCUCACAACCAUAUUCCCGUUUUCCGUAUUUCUUCGAAGCUUUUGGCUGCGUUUUAAAAGUUCAGAAUGACGGAUACAAUACUUACCAACGGAAUCAAGGACCGAGCGGGUCAGAAUGGAUAUUUUAAAAAGGUGAGUGAUUUUUAAGUUUUUAUGAUAGAGAUGAUAGCGCGGUUACGCAGGGGACGUUCAUAACGAUGAAUGUGUUACAAACCGUACACUUAUGAAUGGACUCUGUCUGUUAUGAACGCAGUGUUUCUGCUUUCACUGACAUGCAUAGCGGCCUAGUGGAUGUAUUUCUGAUGUUUUUCAUCUCUAUCAAAACAACCGGUGUUGAUGUCUGACGUACUACCUGUUUGAUUAUUGGUUUAUACCCUGUUUUUUUUUAAUACGAUAACGCUAUCUGCGGGUUUUAAUGGGUUUGACUGAUUGUCAGGUGUGGCAGUGGCCACUUAAUGUCAUUGGUCGCUAUCGCAUUGGAACAUACGGCAGUUGGUUGUCAAAGAUCUUCUGGUGAUAUACACUACAGUUCAAACGUUUUAGAAGCGCUUUUCUUUAUUUUAUUCUAUUUUAUACAUUUGUAAAAUAAUUGUGAAGACAUCAAAACUAUGAAAUAACACAUACGGAAUCAUGUAGUAACCCAAAAAAAAGUGUUAAACAAAUCUAAAUAUGUUAUAUUUGAGAUUCUUCAAAUAGCCACCCUUUGCCUUGGUGACAGCUUUGCCCACUCUUGGUAUUCUCUCAACCAGCUUCACCUGGAAUGCUUUUCCAACAGUAUUUUAAGGAGUUUCCCUAUAUGCUUAGCACUUGUUGGAUGCUUUGCCUUCACUCUGCGGUUCAACUCAUCCCAAACAAUCUCAUUUGGGUUGAGGUCGGGUGAUUGUGGAGGCCAGGUCAUCUGAUGCAGCACCCCACUACCCCCCCCACCACACACCAUAACACACAUGCAGAAAUCAUCAGGUUUGAACCAAAAAUUUGGACUCCAGACCAAAGGACAUAUUUCCACAGGUCUAAUGUCGAUUGGUCAUGUUUCUUGGCCCAAGCAAGUGUCUUCUUAUUAUUGGUGUCCUUUAGUAGUGGUUUCUUUGCAGCAAUUUGACCACGAAGGCCUGAUUCACUCAGUCUCCUCUGAACAGUUGAUGUUGAGAUGUGUCUGUUACUUGAACUCUGUGAAACAUUUAUUUGGGCAGUCAUUUCUGAGGCUGGUAACUCUAAUGAACUUUAUCCUCUGCAGCAGAGGGAACUCUGGGUUUUUCUUUCCUGUGGCGGUCCUCAUGAGAGACAGUUUCAUCAUAGCGCUUGAUGGUUUUUGCGACUGCACUUGAAGAAACUUGAAAAGUUCUUGAAAUGUUCCGUAUUGACUUUUCCUUCAUGUCUUAAAGUAAUGAUUGAUUGUCGUUUCUCUUUUCUUAUUUAAGCUGUUCUGGCCAUAAUAUGGACUUGGUCUUUUAUCAAAUAGGGCUAACUAUUGCAUACCACCCCUACCUUGUCACAACACAACUGAUUGCUAAAUCAUUAUGUUAAUAACUAAUGUGGUGAGAUACAAGAAUCGACAUUAAAACAUUGUAGAGAUGUUUGACCUUUUGACUAACACCCUUUAUAUGACCAUUUUCUACCUUAUAGAAUAAUAGUGAAGACAUCAACACUAUGAAAAAACACAUGUAGUAACCAAAACAAUGUAGUAAUCAAAAUAUAUUUUAUAUUUGAGAUUCUUCAAAGUAGCCACCCUUUGCCUUGAUGACAGCUUUGCACAAUCUUGGCAUUCUCUCAACCAGCUUCAUGAGGUAGUCACCUGGAAUGCAUUUCAAUUCACAGGUGCGCCGUGUUUAAAGUUCCUUUGUGGAAUGCAUUUCCUUAAUGUGUUUGAGCCAAAAUAUCUCAAUCUGCUCAACUGAUCACUUGGUCCAUUUAAAGACGGGACCAGGGUGAAAGAACAUAAACCUUAUCCUAUUGCUCCCAUUAUUUUGCUAACAAGAAAGAAACUAUUAGGGAGUAUUGUGUGUGUGUGUGUGUGUGAGUGUAGUGGCCAGCCUAAUGGACCUAUAUCUUACAGCCUACUGUGAAUACAUUAUCAGGUAUUUAUGGAAUGCUUUUAUCUACUGAGGUGUGUGUGCUCCUUCCUGCCUGUGUGUCUGUGGUGUGUGUAUCUUUCUGAGGAACAUCCCCCCCCUUGGAUACCAAGCUGGCGAGGUUUAGAGAGAUAGCUUGGCAGUCUGCUAGAAGAUACCAAACCCUACUGUUACGCUUGUUUACACUGAGCUGCUCAGGAGUCGGAUGCACAAUCAUGUUUCCAUUAACACACUGUGGACUCGGCGAGAGACGUUGUCUCACCCAUAUAUCUCAAUGCAGAGAUGGGAUCUGUCCCAAACUGGAUCUUUAUCCACAGGUUCCACGCUACUCCAUCGAGAAGACUGAAAUACUGCUGGUUUCCCCCGAUAACUGCCCUUUUCGUCGUCAUGCUAGCUAGCAGUAAUGACAGCAGACUGCCAAGCUCUCUCUCUAACCUAGCAGUUCAUCUCAAUGGGCCGGUAACCGAAUGGUCGCUGGUUCAAAUCCCCGAGACGGCAAGAUGGAACAAUCUGCCGUUCUGCCCUUGAGCAAGGUAGUUAACCCCCAACAACAACUGUUCCCUGGGUGCCGAUGACGUCGAUAGUCCCCACCUCACCUCUCUGAUUCAGAGGGGUUGGGUUAAUUGCGGAAGACCCAUUGAGGUUGAAGGCUUUCUGUUGAGCAACUGACUAGGUAUCCCCCUUUUCCCAACUGACUAGGUACCCCCCCUUUUCCCAACUGACUAGGUAUCCCCCUUUUCCCAACUGACUAGGUA